GUUGUAUGGUUAAGUGACUAAGCGUACACGGUGGAUGCCUUGGCAGUCAGAGGCGAUGAAAGACGUAGUAACUUGCGAUAAGCCCAGAUUAGGUAGUAACAACCAUUUGAGUCUGGGAUUUCUGAAUGGGGAAACCCACGUGCAUAAGCACGUAUCCUUACCUGAAUACAUAAGGUAAGGAGGCGAACCGGGGGAACUGAAACAUCUAAGUACCCCGAGGAAAAGAAAUCAACCGAGAUUCCGAAAGUAGCGGCGAGCGAAAUUGGACUAGCCCUUAAGCUUUACACGCGUUAGACGAACGGUCUGGAAAGUCCGACGAUACAGGGUGAUAGUCCCGUAGUUGACGACGUGUGUUCAGUGAAAUCGAGUAGGGCGGGACACGUGAUAUCCUGUCUGAAUAUGGGGGGACCAUCCUCCAAGGCUAAAUACUACUGACUGACCGAUAGUGAACCAGUACCGUGAGGGAAAGGCGAAAAGAACCCCUGUGAGGGGAGUGAAAUAGAACCUGAAACCGUGUACGUACAAGCAGUAGGAGCAGGCUUUGUCCUGUGACUGCGUACCUUUUGUAUAAUGGGUCAGCGACUUAUAUUCAGUGGCAAGGUUAACCAUCUAGGGGAGCCGUAGGGAAACCGAGUCUUAACUGGGCGUUCAGUCUCUGGAUAUAGACCCGAAACCAGGUGAUCUAGCCAUGGGCAGGUUGAAGGUUGAGUAACAUCAACUGGAGGACCGAACCGACUAAUGUUGAAAAAUUAGCGGAUGACUUGUGGCUAGGGGUGAAAGGCCAAUCAAACCUGGAGAUAGCUGGUUCUCCCCGAAAGCUAUUUAGGUAGCGCCUCGGACGAAUACUACUGGGGGUAGAGCACUGUUAAGGCUAGGGGGUCAUCCCGACUUACCAACCCUUUGCAAACUCCGAAUACCAGUAAGUACUAUCCGGGAGACACACGGCGGGUGCUAACGUCCGUCGUGGAGAGGGAAACAACCCAGACCGCCAGCUAAGGUCCCAAAUUACUACUAAGUGGGAAACGAUGUGGGAAGGCUCAGACAGCCAGGAUGUUGGCUUAGAAGCAGCCAUCAUUUAAAGAAAGCGUAAUAGCUCACUGGUCGAGUCGGCCUGCGCGGAAGAUGUAACGGGGCUAAGUAGUAAACCGAAGCUGCGGCAAUAUACUUUUGUAUAUUGGGUAGGGGAGCGUUCUGUAAGCGGUUGAAGGUGUGUGGUAACGCAUGCUGGACGUAUCAGAAGUGCGAAUGCUGACAUGAGUAACGAUAAAGGGGGUGAAAAACCUCCUCGCCGGAAGACCAAGGGUUCCUGUCCAACGUUAAUCGGGGCAGGGUAAGUCGACCCCUAAGGCGAGGCCGAAAGGCGUAGUCGAUGGGAAACGGGUUAAUAUUCCCGUACUUCUUACAAUUGCGAUGGGGGGACGGAGAAGGCUAGGUGGGCCUGGCGACGGUUGUCCAGGUUCAAGUGCGUAGGCUUAAGAGUUAGGUAAAUCCGGCUCUUUCUAAGGCUGAGACACGACGUCGAGCACCUACGGGUGUGAAGUCAUUGAUGCCAUGCUUCCAGGAAAAGCCUCUAAGCUUCAGAUUGUAAGGAAUCGUACCCCAAACCGACACAGGUGGUCGGGUAGAGAAUACCAAGGCGCUUGAGAGAACUCGGGUGAAGGAACUAGGCAAAAUGGUACCGUAACUUCGGGAGAAGGUACGCUCUUGAUGGUGAAGUCCCUUGCGGAUGGAGCUGACGAGAGUCGCAGAUACCAGGUGGCUGCAACUGUUUAUUAAAAACACAGCACUGUGCAAAAUCGUAAGAUGACGUAUACGGUGUGACGCCUGCCCGGUGCCGGAAGGUUAAUUGAUGGGGUUAGACUUCGGUCGAAGCUCUUGAUCGAAGCCCCGGUAAACGGCGGCCGUAACUAUAACGGUCCUAAGGUAGCGAAAUUCCUUGUCGGGUAAGUUCCGACCUGCACGAAUGGCGUAAUGAUGGCCACGCUGUCUCCACCCGAGACUCAGUGAAAUUGAAAUCGCUGUGAAGAUGCAGUGUACCCGCGGCUAGACGGAAAGACCCCGUGAACCUUUACUACAGCUUGGCACUGAACAUUGACCCUACAUGUGUAGGAUAGGUGGGAGGCUUUGAAGCACGUACGCCAGUAUGUGUGGAGCCGUCCUUGAAAUACCACCCUUGUAGUGUUGAUGUUCUAACGUCGACCCCUUAUCGGGGUUGCGGACAGUGCCUGGUGGGUAGUUUGACUGGGGCGGUCUCCUCCCAAAGAGUAACGGAGGAGCACGAAGGUGGGCUAAUCACGGUUGGACAUCGUGAGGUUAGUGCAAUGGCAUAAGCCCGCUUGACUGCGAGAAUGACAAUUCGAGCAGGUGCGAAAGCAGGUCAUAGUGAUCCGGUGGUUCUGAAUGGAAGGGCCAUCGCUCAACGGAUAAAAGGUACUCCGGGGAUAACAGGCUGAUACCGCCCAAGAGUUCAUAUCGACGGCGGUGUUUGGCACCUCGAUGUCGGCUCAUCACAUCCUGGGGCUGAAGUCGGUCCCAAGGGUAUGGCUGUUCGCCAUUUAAAGUGGUACGCGAGCUGGGUUUAGAACGUCGUGAGACAGUUCGGUCCCUAUCUGCCGUGGGCGUUGGAAGAUUGAAGGGGGCUGCUCCUAGUACGAGAGGACCGGAGUGGACGAACCUCUGGUGUUCGGGUUGUGUCGCCAGACGCAUUGCCCGGUAGCUAAGUUCGGAAUCGAUAACCGCUGAAAGCAUCUAAGCGGGAAGCGAGCCCUGAGAUGAGUCUUCCCUGAUACUUUAAGUAUCCUAAAGGGUUGUCGGAGACUACGACGUUGAUAGGUCAGGUGUGUAAGUGCUGUGAGGCAUUGAGCUAACUGAUACUAAUUGCCCGUGAGGCUUAACCAUACAACACCCAAGGGGUUU
This 2916-nucleotide ribosomal RNA is filed under the name Vibrio parahaemolyticus. RNAcentral describes it as "bacterial LSU rRNA". It matches the Rfam family "Bacterial large subunit ribosomal RNA". The record is from RNAcentral. Lineage: Bacteria; Pseudomonadati; Pseudomonadota; Gammaproteobacteria; Vibrionales; Vibrionaceae.